GAUGAACGCUGGCGGCGUGCUUAACACAUGCAAGUCGAACGAAGCACUUUAUUUGAUUUCCUUCGGGACUGAUUAUUUUGUGACUGAGUGGCGGACGGGUGAGUAACGCGUGGGUAACCUGCCUUGUACAGGGGGAUAACAGUUGGAAACGGCUGCUAAUACCGCAUAAGCGCACGGCAUCGCACGAUGCAGUGUGAAAAACUCCGGUGGUAUAAGAUGGACCCGCGUUGGAUUAGCUAGUUGGUGAGGUAACGGCCCACCAAGGCGACGAUCCAUAGCCGACCUGAGAGGGUGACCGGCCACAUUGGGACUGAGACACGGCCCAAACUCCUGCGGGAGGCAGCAGUGGGGAAUAUUGCACAAUGGGCGAAAGCCUGAUGCAGCGACGCCGCGUGAGCGAAGAAGUAUUUCGGUAUGUAAAGCUCUAUCAGCAGGGAAGAUAAUGACGGUACCUGACUAAGAAGCACCGGCUAAAUACGUG
This 481-nucleotide ribosomal RNA is filed under the name uncultured bacterium. RNAcentral's name for it is "partial 16S ribosomal RNA". It matches the Rfam family "Bacterial small subunit ribosomal RNA", at positions 28 to 507 of the family's 1533-position model. The record is from RNAcentral.